UGGGGAAUAUUGCACAAUGGGGAAACCCUGAUGCAGCGAUGCCGCGUGGAGGAAGAAGGUUUUCGGAUUGUAAACUCCUUUUGUAGGGGGCGAUAAUGACGGUACCCUAAGAAAAAGCUCCGGCUAACUACGUGCCAGCAGCCGCGGUAAUACGUAGGGAGCGAGCGUUGUCCGGAAUUACUGGGUGUAAAGGGAGCGUAGGCGGGACGGCAAGUCAGAUGUGAAAUAUAUGGGCUCAACCUGUAGACUGCAUUUGAAACUGCUGUUCUUGAGUGAAGUAGAGGUAAGCGGAAUUCCUAGUGUAGCGGUGAAAUGCGUAGAUAUUAGGAGGAACAUCGGUGGCGAAGGCGGCUUACUGGGCUUUUACUGACGCUGAGGCUCGAAAGCGUGGGGAGCAAACAGGAUUAGAUACC
Molecule: ribosomal RNA, 413 nt
Filed under: uncultured bacterium
Lineage: Bacteria
Description: bacterial SSU rRNA
Rfam family: Bacterial small subunit ribosomal RNA
Source: RNAcentral